This 27-nucleotide ribosomal RNA is filed under the name Propionibacterium freudenreichii subsp. freudenreichii. The record is from RNAcentral. Lineage: Bacteria; Bacillati; Actinomycetota; Actinomycetes; Propionibacteriales; Propionibacteriaceae.
GGCCUGGUGGCCUGARCGGUGUGCCCA